UACGGAGGAUCCAAGCGUUAUCCGGAUUUAUUGGGUUUAAAGGGUGCGUAGGCGGCCUGUUAAGUCAGGGGUGAAAGACGGUAGCUCAACUAUCGCAGUGCCUUUGAUACUGACGGGCUUGAAUGUACUUGAGGUAGGCGGAAUGUGACAAGUAGCGGUGAAAUGCAUAGAUAUGUCACAGAACACCAAUUGCGAAGGCAUCUUACUAAGGUAUGAUUGGCGCUGAGGCACGAAAGCGUGGGGAUCAAACAGG
Molecule: ribosomal RNA, 253 nt
Filed under: uncultured bacterium
Lineage: Bacteria
Description: partial 16S ribosomal RNA
Rfam family: Bacterial small subunit ribosomal RNA
Source: RNAcentral